UGUGGGAGCGGGCUUGCUCGCGAUUCAGGCGGUGCGGUCUCUCGAUGAACCGAGUCGAUGCAAUCGCGAGCAAGCCCGCUCCCACA
This 86-nucleotide unclassified non-coding RNA is filed under the name Pseudomonas psychrophila. The record is from RNAcentral. Lineage: Bacteria; Pseudomonadati; Pseudomonadota; Gammaproteobacteria; Pseudomonadales; Pseudomonadaceae.